Molecule: ribosomal RNA, 274 nt
Filed under: uncultured bacterium
Lineage: Bacteria
Description: partial 16S ribosomal RNA
Rfam family: Bacterial small subunit ribosomal RNA
Source: RNAcentral
AUACGAAGGGGGCUAGCGUUGUUCGGAAUUACUGGGCGUAAAGCGCGCGCAGGCGGUUUUCCAAGUCAGAGGUGAAAGCCCAGAGCUCAACUCUGGAACUGCCUUUGAAACUGGAAAACUAGGGUACGUGAGAGGUGAGUGGAAUUCCGAGUGUAGAGGUGAAAUUCGUAGAUAUUCGGAAGAACACCAGUGGCGAAGGCGGCUCACUGGCCCGUUACCGACGCUCAGGCGCGACAGCGUGGGGAGCAAACAGAAUUAGAAACCCCGGUAGUCC